Long non-coding RNA from Passer domesticus (house sparrow), 658 nucleotides. RefSeq lists it as uncharacterized. The transcript has 3 exons. The record is from RefSeq and is a predicted model, not a curated record. Lineage: Eukaryota; Metazoa; Chordata; Aves; Passeriformes; Passeridae.
GUUAAAAUUUCAAAAUUCGUGCAGGUUGAAUAGAUUUAAUAAUUUUUCAGAUUGAAUAAUUAACUCAGAAAAAAGGCAUUCUGUCCAACUUUGCAAGAAACUUCGAUAAGAUGAUUAAAAACAUCAAAUAUGGAGAGCAUGAGUUUGAAGUAAGACAUGACAACCGCACCAGAACUAAAUUAGAGAGAAGGAUCUGGCCAUGGUCCUAACACAGGAGUCCAGAAUACUACAGCAUUACAGAAAAUAGAGGCCAGAGCUCACCAUCACUGCUGCUUGCAGUGUGUUCUGCAAAGUCAAAGGUCUGCCAUCCAACACCAACAUCCCCUGCCAUUUCUGCACUGUUGCAUGUGGAUACUGUCUUCAUCCUUUGACAAUAGUGGGUUCAGUGGGUAUCUUGCACCAGGGAUAACCAGGCUGCGUUCAUCCUGAUGACUCAGCAGACACCACAAGCAGAAGACAACUGACUUCUUCCUCCAAUACCAAAAGAAAUACAAGACCCUCACACCAAAAAUCAGCAGACUUACACCAACUUCAAGAAAGAUUAUACUAUCUCCCCCUCUUGUGGAUGUAGAGGUAAGAAUUCUGCAGCAAAGUUCAACAGAAGAAGGUCUACGAGCAAGGAAAAGAACGGGUGAUUAAACUCAACAGUUUACAGUGA